This 497-nucleotide ribosomal RNA is filed under the name uncultured bacterium. Its description in RNAcentral is "partial 16S ribosomal RNA". It matches the Rfam family "Bacterial small subunit ribosomal RNA", at positions 28 to 507 of the family's 1533-position model. The record is from RNAcentral.
GAUGAACGCUGGCGGCGUGCCUAAUACAUGCAAGUCGAGCGAACAGACGAGGAGCUUGCUCCUCUGACGUUAGCGGCGGACGGGUGAGUAACACGUGGAUAACCUACCUAUAAGACUGGGAUAACUUAGGGAAACCGGAGCUAAUACGGGAUAAUAUAUUGAACCGCAUGGUUCAAUAGUGAAAGACGGUUUUGCUGUCACUUAUAGAUGGAUCCGCGCCGCAUUAGCUAGUUGGUAAGGUAACGGCUUACCAAGGCAACGAUGCGUAGCCGACCUGAGAGGGUGAUCGGCCACACUGGAACUGAGACACGGUCCAGACUCCUACGGGAGGCAGCAGUAGGGAAUCUUCCGCAAUGGGCGAAAGCCUGACGGAGCAACGCCGCGUGAGUAAUGAAGGUCUUCGGAUCAUAAAACUCUGUUAUUAGAGAAGAACAAAUGUGUAAGUAACUAUGCACGUCUUGACGGUACCUAAUCAGAAAGCCACAGCUAACUACGUG